RNAcentral lists this ribosomal RNA (433 nucleotides) under uncultured bacterium. RNAcentral's name for it is "partial 16S ribosomal RNA". It matches the Rfam family "Bacterial small subunit ribosomal RNA", at positions 29 to 507 of the family's 1533-position model. The record is from RNAcentral.
AACGAACGCUGGCGGCAUGCCUAACACAUGCGAGUCGAACGAGACCUUCGGGUCUAGUGGCGCACGGGUGCGUAACGCGUGGGAACCUGCCCUUAGGUUCGGAAUAACUCCCCGAAAGGGGUGCUAAUACCGGAUAAUGUCUUCGGACCAAAGAUUUAUCGCCUUUGGAUGGGCCCGCGUUGGAUUAGCUAGUUGGUAGGGUAAAAGCCUAACAAGGCGACGAUCCAUAGCUGGUUUGAGAGAAUGAUCAGCCACACUGGGACUGAGACACGGCCCAGACUCCUACGGGAGGCAGCAGUGGUGAAUAUUGGACAAUGGGCGAAGGCCUGAUCCAGCAAUGCCGCGUGAGUGAUGAAGGCCUUAGGGUUGUAAAGCUCUUUUACCCGGGAUGAUAAUGACAGUACCGGGAGAAUAAGCUCCGGCUAACUCCGUG